RNAcentral lists this ribosomal RNA (283 nucleotides) under uncultured bacterium. RNAcentral's name for it is "partial 16S ribosomal RNA". It matches the Rfam family "Bacterial small subunit ribosomal RNA", at positions 29 to 334 of the family's 1533-position model. The record is from RNAcentral.
AACGAACGCUGGUGGUAUGCUUAACACAUGCAAGUCGAACGGGUAUAGCAAUAUAUCAGUGGCAAACGGGUGAGUAAUGUAUAGGAAUCUACCUAGCAGUAAGGAAUAACUUUGGGAAACCAAAGCUAAUGCCAUAUAUUACCGAUUUAUCGGGAAAGAUUUAUCGCUGUUAGAUGAGCCUGUAUCAGAUUAGCUUGUUGGUGGGGUAAUGGCCUACCAAGGCAAUGAUCUGUAGCUGGUCUGAGAGGAUGAUCAGCCACACUGGGACUGCGACACGGCCCAG